This 355-nucleotide unclassified non-coding RNA is filed under the name uncultured fungus. RNAcentral's name for it is "sequence contains ITS1". The stretch from base 1 to 98 matches the Rfam family "5.8S ribosomal RNA", at positions 49 to 154 of the family's 154-position model. Lineage: Eukaryota; Fungi. The record is from RNAcentral.
UAAAGUGCGAUAUGUGGUGCGAUUUGCAUGAAUCUGUGAGUCAUUUAAUCUUUGAACGCAACUUGCGCCUCUCUGGAGGCAUGUCUGUUUGAGUGUCUUUUAACAACGUGUUGUGCGAUAAAUAGUAUUUAUUGCGCAGAGGUGGUUCGUGUGCGUUGUUAUGUGGUUAUUGUCAUGAUCAUUCAUCAUCACAUGCACUGGACUGAAAUGCAGCAGGUCGGCAGAACACGUGCUGGCUCGUGUGCUAAGCAUUCUCGAGCUGUCAUAUUGUGUCUGUCUCGAGUUGUGACUAUCACAACUCCAUCUUAAUCCAUAUACAGACCUCAAAUCAGGCAGGACUACCCGCUGAACUUAA